This 550-nucleotide ribosomal RNA is filed under the name uncultured bacterium. RNAcentral's name for it is "bacterial SSU rRNA". It matches the Rfam family "Bacterial small subunit ribosomal RNA", at positions 355 to 896 of the family's 1533-position model. The record is from RNAcentral.
UAGGGAAUCUUCGGCAAUGGACGGAAGUCUGACCGAGCAACGCCGCGUGAGUGAAGAAGGUUUUCGGAUCGUAAAGCUCUGUUGUAAGAGAAGAACGAGUGUGAGAGUGGAAAGUUCACACUGUGACGGUAACUUACCAGAAAGGGACGGCUAACUACGUGCCAGCAGCCGCGGUAAUACGUAGGUCCCGAGCGUUAUCCGGAUUUAUUGGGCGUAAAGCGAGCGCAGGCGGUUAGAUAAGUCUGAAGUUAAAGGCUGUGGCUUAACCAUAGUACGCUUUGGAAACUGUUUAACUUGAGUGCAGAAGGGGAGAGUGGAAUUCCAUGUGUAGCGGUGAAAUGCGUAGAUAUAUGGAGGAACACCGGUGGCGAAAGCGGCUCUCUGGUCUGUAACUGACACUGAGGCUCGAAAGCGUGGGGAGCAAACAGGAUUAGAUACCCUGGUAGUCCACGCCGUAAACGAUGAGUGCUAGGUGUUGGGUCCUUUCCGGGACUCAGUGCCGCAGCUAACGCAUUAAGCACUCCGCCUGGGGAGUACGACCGCAAGGUUG